CACAAACCCUAGCACAAACACAAGUCACAAGGCUCCUCACCUGGCCUCAGCCCUCGGUGUCCCCCAAACUGGCCUAACUGGUGGCGCCUGAGCCAGGACAGCUGAAUGACCAGCCGGGGCCCCGGAACCAGGGGUGGGAUCAAGAAGAGAGACAGGUGCACGGCGAUCAUCAGUACAGGCACAGCUUUGUCCACCCAGGACUCCUGCCACUGGGUCCCUGAAUGUUCCUCCCUGAGCGGGCAAUGAGAGAGUAAGCCCCCACUUUCCUCCUUCUUCCUGCUGCUUUUGCCACCGCCUCCCACUUCUUGAUAAGAAUCUGAGUGAAGCGCCUGCCAGGACACGGCUGGAUCUCUUAAAACACAAGGGGAAAUGUUUAUGUUUCCUCUCCACCCUGCCGGGUCACCUCCUCCAGGGUACUGCCAGCCAAGGGCACUGCCUGGUGAGACGAAUCAGAGUUUCAGCUACGGGGAGUUUGUCUGACAUGCAGUCACACACGUGGACACACACAUAUAUCCUGGCACACGGAAUCACUUGAUGCUGAACGUCUUGUGAGAAGACAUGGUGAGGAGCAAAUUCAACCACACGUAGGAUGGCAAGGAAGAGAGGAGGAAGCAGGUAGGAGGACGUGUGUAGAACCUAUUCUUUUUCAGCGCUGAUUACACCUCUA
Molecule: long non-coding RNA, 667 nt
Filed under: Bos indicus x Bos taurus (hybrid cattle)
Lineage: Eukaryota; Metazoa; Chordata; Mammalia; Artiodactyla; Bovidae
Description: lncRNA (ENSBIXG00005025355.1)
Source: RNAcentral